UCAGGAUGAACGCUGGCGGUAUGCGUAACACAUGCAAGUCGAACGAAGUUUUUCGGAACUUAGUGGCGGACGGGUGAGUAACGCGUGAGAAUCUGCCUUAAGGAUUGGGACAACAGUGGGAAACCGCUGCUAAUACCAAAUAUGCCUUUUAGUGAAACGGGUAAAACCGCCUUAAGAUGAGCUCGCGUCUGAUUAGCUAGUAGGUGUGGUAAGAGCGCACCUAGGCGACGAUCAGUAGCUGGUCUGAGAGGACGACCAGCCACACUGGGACUGAGACACGGCCCAGACUCCUACGGGAGGCAGCAGUGAGGAAUUUUCCGCAAUGGGCGAAAGCCUGACGGAGCAAUACCGCGUGAGGGAGGAAGGUUCUUGGAUUGUAAACCUCUUUUCUCAGAGAAGAAUAAUGACGGUAUCUGAGGAAUAAGCAUCGGCUAACUCCGUGCCAGCAGCCGCGGUAAUACGGAGGAUGCAAGCGUUAUCCGGAAUGAUUGGGCGUAAAGGGUCUGUAGGUGGUUGUUCAAGUCUGCUGUUAAAGCGUCUGGCUUAACCAGAUAAAGGCGGUGGAAACUGAACGACUAGAGUGCGAUAGGGGUAGAGGGAAUU
This 603-nucleotide ribosomal RNA is filed under the name uncultured bacterium. RNAcentral describes it as "bacterial SSU rRNA". It matches the Rfam family "Bacterial small subunit ribosomal RNA", at positions 24 to 668 of the family's 1533-position model. The record is from RNAcentral.